AUGAACGCUGGCGGCGUGCUUUAACACAUGCAAGUCGAACGAGAAUCUGUGGAUCGAGGAUUCGUCCAAGUGAAGCAGAGGACAGUGGCGGACGGGUGAGUAACGCGUGAGGAACCUGCCUUUCAGAGGGGGACAACAGUUGGAAACGACUGCUAAUACCGCAUGAUACAUUUGGGUGGCAUCAUCUGAAUGUCAAAGAUUUAUCGCUGAAAGAUGGCCUCGCGUCUGAUUAGCUAGUUGGUGAGGUAACGGCCCACCAAGGCGACGAUCAGUAGCCGGACUGAGAGGUUGACCGGCCACAUUGGGACUGAGAUACGGCCCAGACUCCUACGGGAGGCAGCAGUGGGGAAUAUUGGGCAAUGGGCGCAAGCCUGACCCAGCAACGCCGCGUGAAGGAAGAAGGCUUUCGGGUUGUAAACUUCUUUUAAGAGGGAAGAGCAGAAGACUGUACCUCUAGAAUAAGCCACGGCUAACUACGUG
This 480-nucleotide ribosomal RNA is filed under the name uncultured bacterium. RNAcentral describes it as "bacterial SSU rRNA". It matches the Rfam family "Bacterial small subunit ribosomal RNA", at positions 29 to 507 of the family's 1533-position model. The record is from RNAcentral.